RNAcentral lists this ribosomal RNA (460 nucleotides) under uncultured bacterium. RNAcentral describes it as "partial 16S ribosomal RNA". It matches the Rfam family "Bacterial small subunit ribosomal RNA", at positions 338 to 795 of the family's 1533-position model. The record is from RNAcentral.
CCUACGGGAGGCAGCAGUGAGGAAUAUUGGUCAAUGGGCUUACGCCUGAACCAGCCAAGUCGCGUGAGGGAAGACUGCCCUAUGGGUUGUAAACCUCUUUUGUCAGGGAGCAACGCCGGCUACGUGUAGCCGGACUGAGAGUACCUGAAGAAAAAGCCUCGGCUAACUCCGUGCCAGCAGCCGCGGUAAUACGGAGGAUGCGAGCGUUAUCCGGAUUUAUUGGGUUUAAAGGGUGCGUAGGCGGAAUGCCAAGUCAGCGGUAAAAUCGCGGGGCUCAACCUCGCUCCGCCGUUGAAACUGGCGUUCUUGAGUGGGCGAGAAGUAUGCGGAAUGCGUGGUGUAGCGGUGAAAUGCAUAGAUAUCACGCAGAACUCCGAUUGCGAAGGCAGCAUACCGGCGCCCGACUGACGCUGAGGCACGAAAGUGCGGGGAUCGAACAGGAUUAGAUACCCGAGUAGUC